AAGUGGAGCAAUCCAUGAGUAAAGUGGCGACCGGGUGAGUAACACGUGACUAACCUACCCUCGAGUGGGGAAUAACCUAGGGAAACCUGGGCUAAUACCGCAUAACGUCCUCGGACCAAAUGCGCAAGCAGCUUGAGGAGGGGGUCGCGGCCGAUUAGCUAGUUGGCGGGGUAACGGCCCACCAAGGCAAUGAUCGGUAGCCGGCCUGAGAGGGCGCACGGCCACACUGGAACUGAAACACGGUCCAGACUCCUACGGGAGGCAGCAGUGGGGAAUUUUGCACAAUGGGGGAAACCCUGAUGCAGCAACGCCGCGUGGAGGAUGAAGUCCCUUGGG
RNAcentral lists this ribosomal RNA (336 nucleotides) under uncultured bacterium. RNAcentral's name for it is "bacterial SSU rRNA". It matches the Rfam family "Bacterial small subunit ribosomal RNA", at positions 72 to 422 of the family's 1533-position model. The record is from RNAcentral.